This 2912-nucleotide ribosomal RNA is filed under the name human gut metagenome. RNAcentral describes it as "bacterial LSU rRNA". It matches the Rfam family "Bacterial large subunit ribosomal RNA". The record is from RNAcentral.
UCAAGCUACGAAGGGCAUAUGGUGGAUGCCUUGGCGCCAUGAGCCGAAGAAGGACGCGAUAAGCUGCGAUAAGCCGCGGGGAACUGCACAUAAGUAUGGAUCCGCGGAUUUCCGAAUGGGGAAACCCGGCAGCCGUAAUGGGCUGUCACCCGAAAGGGGGGGAACCCGGUGAACUGAAACAUCUAAGUAGCCGGAGGAAGAGAAAUCAAACGAGAUGCCCACAGUAGCGGCGAGCGAAGAGGGCAGAGCCCAAACCGCAGGCCUUCGGGCCUGCGGGGUUGCGGACCGGCGGAAACCGACGAGUUGCCAGUAGAAUUACCUGGAAAGGUAAGCGAGAGAGGGUAAGAGCCCCGUAUACGAAGGCGACGAGGAGGCGGCCGGGAUCCAGAGUACCACGGAGCACGAGGAAUUCUGUGGGAAACCGGGGGGACCACCCUCCAAGGCUAAACACUCCAUGGCGACCGAUAGCGCAUAGUACCAUGAGGGAAAGGUGAAAAGAACCCCGGGAGGGGAGUGAAAGAGAACCUGAAACCGUAUGUCUACAAGCAGUCGGAGCGGAAGCGACGGCGUGCCUAUUGAAGAAUGAGCCAACGAGUUGCGUGUGCUGGCGAGGUUAAGCAGAAGAUGCGGAGCCGAAGGGAAACCGAGUCUGAAGAGGGCGGGAAGUCAGUAUACGCAGACCCGAAACUGCAGUGAUCUACGCAUGGCCAGAUUGAAACGCAGGUAAAAUUGCGCGGAGGAUCGAACCGGGACAUGUUGAAAAAUGUUCGGAUGAGCUGUGCGUAGGGGUGAAAUUCCAAUCGAACGCAGAGAUAGCUGGUUCUCCUCGAAAUAGCUUUAGGGCUAGCCUCAGGCAGUAAGCGCAGGCGGUAGAGCACUGAUCGGGAUAGGGACUGUAACGGUUACCGAACCCUGUCAAACUCCGAAUGGCAGCGCUGCAGAGCCUGGGAGUCAGACUACGAGUGAUAAGAUCCGUGGUCAAAAGGGAAACAGCCCAGACCAUCAGCUAAGGUCCCCAAUGCCGUACUAAGUGGAAAAGGAUGUGGGGUUUCACAAACAACCAGGAUGUUGGCUCAGAAGCAGCCACCAUUUAAAGAGUGCGUAAUAGCUCACUGGUCGAGAGACCCUGCGCCGAAGAUUCCCGGGGCUGAAGUACGGAACCGAAGCUAUGGAUGCAGCCGCAAGGCUGCGUGGUAGAGGAGCGUUCCCGUCGGGCAGAAGCCGUCCUGUAAGGGGCGGUGGACGGACGGGAAGUGAGAAUGUUGGCAUGAGUAGCGAAAAGAACGGUGAGAAUCCGUUCCACCGAAAACACAAGGAUUCCUGAGCAACGAUCGUCGUCUCAGGGUAAGUCGGGACCUAAUCCGAGGCAUGGAGCGUAGGAGAUGGACAUCCGGUUGAAAUUCCGGAACCGGCAGGAAUCGUCAAGAGCAACGGAGUGACACAGGAAGGCAGGCGCGCAUGAGAUUGGAAGUUCAUGUGCAAGCGUGCGACGCGCGGGACAGGCAAACCCGUCCCGCAGGAGCGCGAGGCGUGACGCGGAGGGGACCGCAAGGGACCCGAAGGCGCCGGACCUACACUGUCGAGAAAAGCUUCUAGCAAGAGACCUGCCGCCCGUACCGUAAACCGACACAGGUGUGUGGGGAGAGGAUCCUAAGGUGCGCGGGAGAACCCUCGUUAAGGAACUCGGCAAAAUGUACCCGUAACUUCGGGAUAAGGGUAGCCGUCUGGCGUGAAGGGACAAGCUCCCGGAGCGUUGGAAGGCCGCAGAGAAGAGGCCCAAGCGACUGUUUACCAAAAACUUAGGUGCCUGCCAAAGCGAAAGCUGACGUAUAGGUGCUGACACCUGCCCAGUGCCGGAAGGUUAAGGAAGGAGGUCCGGGUUCGACCCAAAGCCUUCGACCGAAGCCCCGGUGAACGGCGGCCGUAACUAUAACGGUCCUAAGGUAGCGAAAUUCCUUGUCGGGUAAGUUCCGACCCGCACGAAAGGUGUAACGAUUUGGGCGCUGUCUCAACGAGGGACCCGGUGAAAUUGAAAUACCUGUGAAGAUGCAGGUUACCCGCGACUGGACAGAAAGACCCCAUGGAGCUUUACUGUAACCUGACAUUGGGUUCUGAUACUGCAUGCACAGGAUAGGUGGGAGGCACGGAAGCCCCUCCUUCGGGGAGGGCAGAGCCGCCGUUGGGAUACCACCCUUGCGAUAUCGGAAUUCUAACCGCAGCGGUAACGACGCUCGGGACAGUGUCAGGCGGGCAGUUUGACUGGGGCGGUCGCCUCCCAAAGUGUAACGGAGGCGCCCAAAGGUUCCCUCAGCGCGGCCGGAAAUCGCGCGCAGAGUGCAAAGGCAGAAGGGAGCUUGACUGCGAGUCGGACAGGACGAGCAGGGACGAAAGUCGGGCUUAGUGAUCCGGUGGCAUCCAAGUGGAAGGGCCAUCGCUCAACGGAUAAAAGCUACCCUGGGGAUAACAGGCUGAUCUCUCCCAAGAGUUCAUAUCGACGGGGAGGUUUGGCACCUCGAUGUCGGCUCAUCACAUCCUGGGGCUGAAGUCGGUCCCAAGGGUUGGGCUGUUCGCCCAUUAAAGUGGUACGCGAGCUGGGUUCAGAACGUCGUGAGACAGUUCGGUCCCUAUCCAUCGCGGGCGCAAGAGAUUUGAAGGGGGCUGCUCCUAGUACGAGAGGACCGGAGUGGACGAAUCCAUGGUGUACCAAUUAUGCCGCCAGGCGUAUCGUUGGGUAGCCACAUUCGGGAAGGAUAAACGCUGAAAGCAUCUAAGCGUGAAACCUGCCCUAAGAUGAGAUCUCUCACAGCAUAAGCUGGUAAGACCCCUUGAAGAUGACAAGGUUGAUAGGUCGGGAGUGUAAGUGCAGCAAUGCAUUGAGCGGACCGAUACUAAUAGGUCGAGGGCUUGAUUUA